RNAcentral lists this long non-coding RNA (223 nucleotides) under Prunus persica (peach). RNAcentral describes it as "long non-coding RNA (PPER_LNC001801)". Lineage: Eukaryota; Viridiplantae; Streptophyta; Magnoliopsida; Rosales; Rosaceae. The record is from RNAcentral.
GAGUCUCUAUUAUCCCCUUUUGAUUUUUAACUUUUUCAGAGUUAUUACUCGUAUAAAGAAUUUAGCAUUUUCACCUCUAAUACUUGUAUUAUACACAUAAGUAAUUAUUUUUCAAUAAUACAUCAGUUUUCUGUACACAUCUUAAACACUCGGUAAAAUAAUAUAUAUUAAAAUAUUAUGUAGUAUGCGAAAUUUUCAGUUGUAAUUUGCCAAAAUUUUGAAG